AGAGUUUGAUCAUGGCUCAGGAUGAACGCUAGCGGCAGGCCUAAUACAUGCAAGCCGAACGGUAAGUUUGAUAGCAAUAUUGAACCUAGAGUGGCGUAAGGGUGCGUAACACGUAUGCAAUCUACCCGCAACAGGAGGAUAGCUCCCCGAAAGGGGAAUUAACCCUCCAUGAGAUCACACGAGGGCAUCUGAGAGUGAUUAAAUCUGAGGAGGUUGUGGAUGAGCAUGCGACUGAUUAGCUAGUUGGCAGUGUAACGGACUACCAAGGCGAUGAUCAGUAGGGGAACUGAGAGGUUGAUCCCCCACACUGGCACUGAGAUACGGGCCAGACUCCUACGGGAGGCAGCAGUAGGGAAUAUUGGUCAAUGGGUGAGAGCCUGAACCAGCCAUGCCGCGUGCAGGAAGAAGGCCUUCUGGGUUGUAAACUGCUUUUGCCGGGGGAUAAAAUAGCUUUGCGAAGCUAAUUGAAGGUACCUGGUGAAUAAGCCACGGCUAACUACGUGCCAGCAGCCGCGGUAAUACGUAGGUGGCAAGCGUUGUCCGGAUUUAUUGGGUUUAAAGGGUGCGUAGGCGGUUGAUUAAGUCAGUUGUGAAAUACGGCAGCUUAACUGUCGAGGUGCAAUUGAUACUGGUUGACUUGAGUACAGACGAGGUAGGCGGAAUUGACGGUGUAGCGGUGAAAUGCAUAGAUAUCGUCAAGAACACCGAUAGCGAAGGCAGCUUACUAGACUGUAACUGACGCUGAGGCACGAAAGUGUGGGGAUCAAACAGGAUUAGAUACCCUAGUAGUCC
Molecule: ribosomal RNA, 792 nt
Filed under: uncultured bacterium
Lineage: Bacteria
Description: bacterial SSU rRNA
Rfam family: Bacterial small subunit ribosomal RNA
Source: RNAcentral